RNAcentral lists this ribosomal RNA (622 nucleotides) under Salmonella enterica. RNAcentral's name for it is "partial 23S ribosomal RNA". It matches the Rfam family "Bacterial large subunit ribosomal RNA", at positions 2311 to 2925 of the family's 2925-position model. Lineage: Bacteria; Pseudomonadati; Pseudomonadota; Gammaproteobacteria; Enterobacterales; Enterobacteriaceae. The record is from RNAcentral.
CGAAGGUUGGCUAAUCCUGGUCGGACAUCAGGAGGUUAGUGCAAUGGCAUAAGCCAGCUUGACUGCGAGCGUGACGGCGCGAGCAGGUGCGAAAGCAGGUCAUAGUGAUCCGGUGGUUCUGAAUGGAAGGGCCAUCGCUCAACGGAUAAAAGGUACUCCGGGGAUAACAGGCUGAUACCGCCCAAGAGUUCAUAUCGACGGCGGUGUUUGGCACCUCGAUGUCGGCUCAUCACAUCCUGGGGCUGAAGUAGGUCCCAAGGGUAUGGCUGUUCGCCAUUUAAAGUGGUACGCGAGCUGGGUUUAGAACGUCGUGAGACAGUUCGGUCCCUAUCUGCCGUGGGCGCUGGAGAACUGAGGGGGGCUGCUCCUAGUACGAGAGGACCGGAGUGGACGCAUCACUGGUGUUCGGGUUGUCAUGCCAAUGGCACUGCCCGGUAGCUAAAUGCGGAAGAGAUAAGUGCUGAAAGCAUCUAAGCACGAAACUUGCCCCGAGAUGAGUUCUCCCUGAGACUUAGAGUCUCCUGAAGGAACGUUGAAGACGACGACGUUGAUAGGCCGGGUGUGUAAGCGCAGCGAUGCGUUGAGCUAACCGGUACUAAUGAACCGUGAGGCUUAACCUUAC